GAUCAACGUUCAGCAAGUGAUUUCCAGGUGUGCCAGCUACUGUCAGCCAAAGCACAGUGCUCUGGGAUUCAAACAGCACUGAAGAGUCGACCUGCAGGGUGCCACAGCAUCUGCAGCUGCCUCAGGGCACUUUGGUGGGAACCCUUCAAAACUUUCAAUUCAGAACAGCACCUAUGUCAUAAGCACUUCAUAAAGUCCCGAUUAAAUUGCCCCAUUCUGUGGGACACAGCUACAGCCUUGAAGGUCGUGCUGCUGCUGUUGUGCGUCUGAGUCCCAGCGCUGGAAAUGAAAAGGUUCAGAGAAUCCUGACACCAAGGAGAGGCACAAAGCUGCACUCUGCUCAUGACAGCUUCUCUUUACACCACAGCUUUUCCUCUGAGCAUGUUCCAGUGUCUCUGCACUCCCAGUCCACCUGCAGCAGCCAGGGCCAGGCUCUCGUAGCCUGGCUCUCCUGCUGGGAGCUUCUCAGAGCACGAGCCGCCUCCUUUCCAGCAGAUCGCAGGUGUUCUCCACAUGGCGUGAGCAGGUGAGAGCACGGCUUUGCCAAACCAUGAUGGAGUUUGGUAGCUGAAACACAAAAUCCACGUUUGGCCUGAGAUCUGAAUCUGGCUCUCUGCUCCAUCCUCCGCUCUGAGCCAAAUCAAACUGCAGCACAUCAUGAAAACCAAA
This is a non-coding RNA of Cyanistes caeruleus (blue tit), 669 nucleotides long. The record is from RefSeq and is a predicted model, not a curated record. Lineage: Eukaryota; Metazoa; Chordata; Aves; Passeriformes; Paridae.